UGAAAUGUAGGAGGAGUCAUCUCAGAAGAUUUUGUAGACCAACUCUGUCCUUCAAUAGGAAUGUAUGUACCACACAUCAUGGUUGAGAUCCAGAGCGAGAUAUUCUAGACCUGGAAAGGUGUCCCUCUCCAUCUCUGACAAACAAUCCAUUUGAACAGAGCUCUCUGAAGUGUCACUCCAGGUAUGAAGGGGUGGAGAAGAAAACUUUGAGCUUUGACUGCAUGGCAACAGAUGCACCAAAAUCCAUGCAGGAGUGAAAUCCUGCUGGGGUCAUCAUUGGAAUUCAGAGACAGCUGACUCCCGUUGAAAACCUGAGAAUAUUUUGCAUUUGUUUGCUGUUUUGCUCAUGUCUGCAUCAAGGCAGACAGGCAGUGUGGUUAUUGGCCCUGGACCCCUUCAGAGCUCGUCAUCGAUGCCACCGAACAAGUUAGAUCUAAAUACAGCUGGAGCAGAAAUAAACUGCCAUCACCAGAGUGAAAGGAAGAGGAUGGGUAGUGUGAGAAUAUUGAAAACUGGAGUGUUCUUGUCAUUUUUGCUUGAUGUUGUUUAAAGGAGUCCCUAACCGAGGCUGAUUUCAAGAGGUGCCAGCACAGAGGAGGAUGUGUCGUGAGUACACCCUCUCCUUCCUUGCCAGUGGGUCUACAGGUGCCCUGUAAGUAGAUUCUUACCAGGAUUUGAUUUAAAUCGAUAUAUUAGCCUGAAAUAAACAUCUCUUUUGUGUAUUUGUGCAUUUUUAAGUUGUGGAAGUAUCUCAUUAAUUCAUUUAAUUAUGCAGAGGUGUGACUGAAUCUGCUUUCUCUGUUGCACAGCAAAUUAAGGCCGAAAAAGGGCCUCUGAGGAGCCACAUAACCCAAGCAAUUCCCUGAGAAGCUGCAGCCUCCAGACAAUUUGCCCUUGCCUUGCCUAUGCCUCCCUGAAAGCAUCUUGCCCUGCUGAUGUAGACCAGAGCAUGAAGCUUUUUCCUGGUAACUUUCCCCUAUAAUAGCAUGUCCCAUGUAUUAUUUCUUUGUAAAAAUCCUUCUCUUGUCAUAGGAAACAAGAGCCCUGAAA
Molecule: non-coding RNA, 1050 nt
Organism: Zonotrichia albicollis (white-throated sparrow)
Lineage: Eukaryota; Metazoa; Chordata; Aves; Passeriformes; Passerellidae
Source: RefSeq, a predicted model, not a curated record